AACUUUGACAUGUUUCUUUCAGACGACCGCAUUCGCCGCCUACUGUCCUCGCACAUCGGCAAGCACUUCUACGAGAGAAAGAAAUGAACGUGGUACCUUCAGGUGUUUGGAAAUUGCUCCCAAGGAUGAACCAGAUUUGUGGAGGUCUACAAUUGUUUUUCUGAGGUCUUGGCCGAUUUCUUUUUGAUUUUCCCAUGAUGUCAAGCAAAGAGGCACUGAUUUUGAAGGGAGCCUUUGUCAUUGAACCUGCAGAGCAAAAAGCUGGCCUUGGACAUCCAGAGAACCAUCCAGGGAACAACAACCUCCAUUUCUAAGAAAGGCUGCUACUGGUGAGGCCUGCUCUCUGACUUAGUCACAUGGCUUAUGUGGCCCACUCUGGGAUGGCUGCAGAUGAAAUAGCAGAGAAUAUUGAUUCAGCUGUCAGCACCAUCGUGACAAAACUACG
Oncorhynchus nerka (sockeye salmon) is the source of this 445-nucleotide long non-coding RNA. RefSeq lists it as uncharacterized. The record is from RefSeq and is a predicted model, not a curated record. NCBI's taxonomy places the organism in Eukaryota, Metazoa, Chordata, Actinopteri, Salmoniformes, Salmonidae. The transcript has 4 exons.